CAGAGAUAGUUUAUAGAAAAUAAAACAUUAAAUUUGGGAUUUAAAAAAAAUUCUCUGA
Molecule: transfer RNA, 58 nt
Filed under: Osborniella crotophagae
Lineage: Eukaryota; Metazoa; Arthropoda; Insecta; Psocodea; Menoponidae
Description: tRNA-Pro
Source: RNAcentral